RNAcentral lists this ribosomal RNA (563 nucleotides) under uncultured bacterium. RNAcentral's name for it is "partial 16S ribosomal RNA". It matches the Rfam family "Bacterial small subunit ribosomal RNA", at positions 355 to 1375 of the family's 1533-position model. The record is from RNAcentral.
UGGGGAAUAUUGCACAAUGGGCGAAAGCCUGAUGCAGCAACGCCGCGUGAGUGAUGAAGGCCUUCGGGUUGUAAAGCUCUGUCUUUUGGGACGAUAGUGACGGUACCAAAGGAGGAAGCCACGGCUAACUACGUGCCAGCAGCCGCGGUAAUACGUAGGUGGCAAGCGUUGUCCGGAUUUACUGGGCGUAAAGGAUGCGUAGGCGGAUUUUUAAGUGAGAUGUGAAAUACCCGGGCUUAACUUGGGUGCUGCAUUUCAAACUGGGAAUCUAGAGUGCGGGAGAGGAGAAUGGAAUUCCUAGUGUAGCGGUGAAAUGCGUAGAGAUUAGGAAGAACACCAGUGGCGAAGGCGAUUCUCUGGACCGUAACUGACGCUGAGGCAUGAAAGCGUGGGUAGCAAACAGGAUUAGAUACCCUGGUAGUCCACGCCGUAAACGAUGAGUACUAGGUGUAGGAGGUAUCGACCCCUUCUGUGCCGCAGUUAACACAAUAAGUACUCCGCCUGGGAAGUACGAUCGCAAGAUUAAAACUCAAAUGAAUUGACGGGGUCAUAGCUGUUUUCCU